Long non-coding RNA from Sarcophilus harrisii (Tasmanian devil), 5431 nucleotides. RefSeq lists it as uncharacterized. The transcript is spliced from 5 exons. The record is from RefSeq and is a predicted model, not a curated record. Lineage: Eukaryota; Metazoa; Chordata; Mammalia; Dasyuromorphia; Dasyuridae.
ACAAGCAAUCCAAUAUAGGUUAAACAUGUGCAAUUCUUCUAAACAUAGUCCCAUAUCUGUCAGACUGGGCAAGAAAUAUCAGGUCAAAAGGGCAAAAAACACCAGGAAGAAAAAAAUAAGCAAACAACAACAAAAAGAUAUUGAUCCAUAUUCAGUCUCCAUAGUUUUCUCUCUGAAUGCAGAUAGCUCUCUCCAUCACAAGUCUAUUAGAAUUGCCUUGAAUCACCUCAUUGUUUAAAAGAACCAAGUCCGUCACAUUUGAUCGUCACAUGAUCUUCUUGUUCCUGUGUACAAUGUUCUCUUGGUUCCAGUAGAGAAGUUCUAAAGAAGACUUCAGGAAGGAGGUACACUUGAAUGAUAGGUAGGGUUUUAGCAAAACAUGGCAGUGUGAGGAGGGAAGACAACCCAGAUGGAAAGAACAGUUUGAACAAAGCACAGAGUGUAUUUGGAACAGAAAUUAGUCUCGUUUGGUUGGAACACAAGGACCAAGCAGAAAAGAUCAUCUCUCUCACAUAACAGCUUUAUAAAACUUUACAAUCAUAGAUUGAUAAAGCUGCAAAUGACACGAUGUCAUCUAGGCCAACCCCUUUACUUUCCAGGUAAGAAAAAUGAGAUGUAGAAAUGUUAACUGAUUCCCAGGGUCUCAUAGGUUUUGAGUGACAGAGCUGAGAUUCAAAUGCAAAUCCUUUGACCCCACAACCAAUAAUCCUUUCAUUAUAAAGACUAUCUUUUGAAAAUAAUUUUCAUUGCUCUCCCUAAGUCUUUUCCCCAGGUCAAAAAUCCUUAAUUCCUUAAAUUUAUUAUUGUUUCAUUUCUUAUAGUAUUUUGACCACUGGAUUUGCUCAAGUUGGUUAAUGUCCUUGCUAAAAUGGAAAGCUCAGAACCAAACGCAAUAACCCAGAGGUGGACCAAGAUGAAGUACAAAGAUAUACUAUUACAUCCCUUAUUGUGCAAAUCACACUUCUAUUAAAGCAGUCCACAAUUACAUUAAAUUUCUGAAGACCAUGCCAUAAUUUAUUCAUAUUGAGUUUGUAGUUCCCUAUGACUUUUAAUAUCUUUUUCAGGUGAACUGUUUUCUAGCUGUACUUACCCCAUCCUCUAUUUGUAUAGUGGACUCUUUGAAUUGCCUUCUACAUAGUAGAUCCUUAGAAUCCUUGAUUGAUUGGCAAGAAUGGUGUUAUGAAAAAUGGAAAACUCUACACUACUAAUAAAGAUUACCCUAACAUUUACAGCAAUUAAGUCUAAUUGUAUGAAUGGACUGAGUAUUGUGGAAAACAUCUUCUAGAAGAAACCAUCAUAGAAAAAGGAUUGAUUAUCUCUAGGCCUUCUUCAGUGCUAUUGAGAGUGAUAGAAUUCUUAGAUUCUACAUAGAAUUCUUGCCAAGAAAAAUUGAACUUUGAGGCAAGUACACUUUUCAAACACAUAAUCUCUAUGCAUAGCCCCCUUCUCUUUGGAUGUCAUUAAAAUUGUUUCUUGUUUUGGUACAUAAGAGAUAUUUGCUUCAUAUGGACUAGCUUUUUGUACAAGGAACUUGGAAUCCUUUGAAUGUGAGGUGACCUUGAAACUAUUAUGAGUGUGUAUUCAAAACCCGCCUAUGGAAUGUCAGUUAUUCUCCUUAAACUAGCUCUAAUGUAAUUGUAUCAAGCAAUCAAGAAAAAGAAGGUGGCCCUGGGAAACUAAAGAACUCAUAACCUUAGUCCUCCUUUACAGCUGGAUCAAGACUUCUUUAUUAAAACCAUUUCUCAAAUUCAAGGGGUGAAGAAGGGCAGCUGUUUGGCUAUGAUUCUUCUCAAGAAGAAAUCUGGAUGUGAAACAAAGCAAGACCUCAAGAGCUGAUGAAAAAAUGCUGGGCACACAGCGCUGCUGUCUGGUUGCCAUGGUGACCACAGCCUAUUAUCCCGCCUUGUCAUUCAUCAAGAAAGAAUUGCACUUGACAGAGAGAGAGGAGAAUGCCUGCAGUCUGCAGCAAAAGGGGGGGGGGGGGAAUGGUGGCGGUAGUGGUGCUGGUUUUCUUUUCUUCUGAGUAUGUAAAAGGUCUUUAAUGCCCGUUUCGUUACAUGUUUUAUUGAACAUUAUUUAUUACUUGUAACGGCAAUAAUUGAUACCUGUUUAAAAAAAAAAAAAAACACCCCCUUCCUCCGAAGUGUUUAAUUUGCAAUUUGCUUGUUUGUCUUGCUUCCCCAUUUUCAAUCACCCCCUACUUCCACCUUAGUGAGAGGAACAGCUAAAUGGUCACAUUCUCCAAAGAGAGUGACCAUUGUCCAGGUGCCUCAAAAAGCAAGCCAACCCGACCCCCCUUAAUUGUGCCCUGUAGUCAUCAGCUUCUGAUGUCCUCGUUUAGAAAGAUAAUUAGUGCACUAUGGCCAAAAAAAAUUGAGCAUAACCUUUGACCAGAGUGGAUCCUCCAAGUGUGCAAUGCCUGUGGACUAAAAUAUCAAAAAAGGAGGGUUUCUGCAAUCCCCCCCCCAAAAAAUGGAGGUCUUUCCAGGAGAGGGUAGAAUAUAAAACCAGUAAUUGCUCUUUACAAAGUUGGAUCCCAACCAAACUCAUUCUUCAAAGGCAGGAAAAGGUAAUUACUUGUUAUUUGGCCAUUCCUCAUCUUUGCCAUCUGAAUUAACCCAAAUUAAUUCUGAAAAUAUGUGGGCUAAUACCUUUUGUAAAUGAAUACAUUUGUAGGUUUAAACACCUUGUUUUAUUCUUUUACACCCCCUCCCUUCCUUUCUUAUUAUUAAGAAUUUGGGAUUAUUUCCCAGUUAAUUGUUGAGUUGUUAAACUAUCUGUAUCUGGUUGGAUCAUUGUAAAAGUCUGUGCUCUACAGAGCUGCCUGGUACCAGCUGAUUUCCUUGUUAAAAGGGAGACUAUAUAGUAAAAGAGACUUUAUGGGCUGGGUGGGAUUUUAAAUUGAGGUCCUCUUAGCUUAGUUUUUAAAUCUGUCUAAUCUUUUGUCCUGGAGAUCACAGGGAAAUAGUAGCUAGCACAGAUGUACCUGAAUUGCUUAGAUACCAGAUUUUAAUGUGACUGGUACUUGUUUUAAAGGGCCAUCUACAUGGAGCUUGAUUGAACAUCAAGGAUUGAGGUGUAAGGAACUUGUGAAGAUCAAGUUCUCUUCACUCUAAAGACAACCUUUCAACUGAAGCUUUGGGACAAUGAGAGCACAUGAAUGCAGCUGCUGCAGAGAAAGAGGAUGUUCAACAAUUUCCUAGUGAUUGUGGGCAGUGAAUCAGUUCAGGAUCUAAACCCUGUCCUAUAGCCUCAGAUUCCUGGAUAACUGGGUCAAAGACAUUCAUGUGAUGAUAGUGAUGAUCAGUGGAUGUUACCCACAUUACCCAAAUGAUUAUAGCAGUAGUGACCUGGGGUAGAGAGGAGGAACCUGCAUGAACCUUUAAUUCAAUUCAAUAAACAUUUAUAAAAUGCCUAUUCUAUACAAGUAACUGCUAGUUAUUGAAAAUAUAAAGACAAAACCCAAAACAAAAUAACAAAAAAUGUCUGCCUUCAAGAACUGUAUAUGCUUCUUUAUCAUUUCUGAACUCUGGCUAUAUCCACACAUAUUUAUAUUCCAAUCAGAGAGCAGAAGCUCAAAAUAUCUACCCGCAUCCUUGCCAAGCAAAUUGGGAAACCUAAGAUUGUUUUCUCUUAUUCUUGACAUUUGGGAGAGAGAGGGAAAAAAAGAAAGAAAGAAAAAGAAAAGAAAAGGAUAAAAUAAAGCAGAAGUGUUAUGUUUAGAACUCUUGCCACUUCCCCUCAUUGCUCAACUUUUGCUUUAAUAUUGCCGCAACACCACUGUUCAUUUCCUGUUCAACUCCAAUUCUACCUUUUGAUUUUCAAAUCUCCCUUAGGCUAAUGGUUUCAGUGAAGAAUGAAAUGAACAGGCAGAAACAAUUAAGUGAGCAGAUACAGUGAAAACCAACACCACUGCACUUUCACAGAAAUAGAAGUGUACGAAGGAAUUCUGUUUUGGUUUUUAUCUUCCUGCAAUGUCAUAGUUAGGCUUAUUAUUAUUUGUCUUUCACCUCUCAAUACUUCCUUAUUUAUACCUUUAUCCAUACCAAAUGCAUUGCCCCCAACCACUUCAUUUAACCCCACCACCACCACCUUACUUAAAGGGAAGAGACAUUUAUCACCCCUGCUCUACCUAAAAAACAAACAAACAAAAUAUAGACAUUGAAAAUAUUUUCUCUGUAUUUUGUUUUACUGGGUAAUAUCUCAGAAUAAAAUCCAACUAAAUAUUCUUAAUUGCAAAUGUUUCCCAAAUCCUGUUAAAUGCUCACAUAUGUCUUUAUGAAAAUUGGAAUAUGGACUGUUUAUAUACUCUUGAUUGUGGUCAUGAAUAUAAUUAAGAAAGGAUCAAGUCAGUUUAAGGACUGAAGCAUCUAAAAUCUAAUUGGCAUGUUAUGCAUAAGGAAUAGAUUUAAUUUUGUUCCUAAGUAGCUUUUUCUCUUUUCAUACAUAGGCAUAUAAAUAGUCAAAAGGUGGAAUAGUAAUGUAUCUUGAUAAUUUUUAUUAAAAAUUAUCAAAGAAAGAAUCAACUCUACCCCCAACAAGUAUGCUGUCAGCCUUUUUAAGAAGGAAAAAACCUCUUUGUUAGCAGUUACCGUAACAUUUCACAUGGCAAGAAGUUGGCCUUCUUAGUUUUGGUUCUCCUUUGUUAAAUUAGAAAUUAUUCUCUUACUCAAUUCCAUGAGAAACUGGGCACAAAAUACCAAAGGAAAAGCAUGAAAAUGAGACACCAUGGUGACUAUCAGUCGCCAUUUUAAAUGUCAUUGUGCUAUCGUUUGGCAUGAGCUCACAAAAGCCACUUUCCAAGCCCUGUUGGCAGGGAGUCUAUUUUUCAAGUCAUUCUUCAUUUCAAAAGACAGUACAAAUUAGAGAUGUGCUUUAUAAGGACCAGAAUUCAUGAAACCUCGGCCUGAAACAACUCGUGGCCAUCCAUUGCGAGGUGACACAACAGCUCAGUAAUGAAUCUGGAGAGGUAGGGGUGCUUCCACGAGGUUUUGCUGAGCCGAAGGCAUAAAGAACUUUUAUUGAAUACAUCCUUUAGUAUUUACCCAAUAAAACACCUCUUGUAAACCAAGGACUUUGUAUUUUUUGUUGUUGUUGUUGGGGGAGGUUGUUUGUUUGUUUUAAUACCGGUAUAAUGGUUUACUCUGCAAUAGUGAGGAUUUGAAGACAGCUGCUAGUAAACAUAAAAUGAGCUAUAUAAUGGUAUUACAAUGGAUUUUUUUAUUUGAGAUUCCAGGAUGGGGCAGAUUUGUUACCCUAGCAAAUGUCUGGUUACAUAGAAAUUGUCUUCACAUAAUUGGAAUGUUUCCCUUAGAAGAAAAAAAAGGCAAUUCAUUUUUUGUUAAAACCGCAGCACACUUCCUUUCCUUUGUUAUUUAUGAAAAAUACACAUAUAUUAUGUCUAGACAUAAGCAUUUUCAGGGAAUGUGGU